This 372-nucleotide ribosomal RNA is filed under the name uncultured bacterium. RNAcentral's name for it is "bacterial SSU rRNA". It matches the Rfam family "Bacterial small subunit ribosomal RNA", at positions 794 to 1157 of the family's 1533-position model. The record is from RNAcentral.
UCCACGCCGUAAACGAUGUCUACUAGGUUGUGGAAGUUCUGACGCUUGCACGGCCGAAGCAAAAGUGCUAAGUAGACCGCCUGGGGAGUACGGCCGCAAGGCUAAAACUCAAAGGAAUUGACGGGGGCUCACACAAGCGGUGGAGCAUGUGGAUUAAUUCGAAGCAACGCGUAGAACCUUACCUGGGUUUGACAUGCUUGGAUGGCUGCCUGGAAACAGGUUAGUCUGCCCUUCGGGGUGAAACUUGCACAGGUGCUGCAUGGCUGUCGUCAGCUCGUGUCGUGAGAUGUCGGGUUAAGUCCUUUAACGAGCGAAACCCUUGCCGUUAGUUGCCAGCGGGUUAUGCCGGGGACUCUAACGGGACUGCCGGUG